GACAACCUGGUUGAUCCUGCCAGUAGUCAUAUGCUUGUCUCAAAGAUUAAGCCAUGCAUGUCUCAGUACAAACUCAAUUAAAGUGAAACCGCGAAAGGCUCAUUAAAUCAGUUAUGGUUCCUUAGAUCGUACCCACAUUUACUUGGAUAACUGUGGUAAUUCUAGAGCUAAUACAUGCAAACAGAGUCCUUCUCCGGUUCGUCCGGAAGGGAUGCUUUUAUUAGAUCAAAACCAAUCGGCGUUGGGGCGCUUAUGCGUGCGUCCUUUCGCCGCUCAAUUUGGUGAAUCUGAAUAACUUUACGCUGAUCGCACGGUCUCGCACCGGCGACGCAUCUUUCAAAUGUCUGCCUUAUCAACUGUCGAUGGUAGGUUCUGCGCCUACCAUGGUUGUAACGGGUAACGGGGAAUCAGGGUUCGAUUCCGGAGAGGGAGCCUGAGAAACGGCUACCACUUCCAAGGAAGGCAGCAGGCGCGCAAAUUACCCACUCCCGGCACGGGGAGGUAGUGACGAAAAAUAACGAUACGGGACUCAUCCGAGGCCCCGUAAUCGGAAUGAGUACACUUUAAAACCUUUAACGAUAAUCUAUUGGAGGGCAAGUCUGGUGCCAGCAGCCGCGGUAAUUCCAGCUCCAAUAGCGUAUAUUAAAGUUGUUGCGGUUAAAAAGCUCGUAGUUGAAUCUGUGUCCCGCGCUGUCGGUUCACCGCCCGCGGUGUUAAACUGGCAUGCCGCGGGACGUCCUGCCGGUGGGUGUUCGCGUCGUCUGUUCGUCGCGCGGCAUUGCGUUCUCACGUCGUUCUCUGAACUGUCGUCGAGGCGUGUGUCGUUGCGGCGUCAGUCGCGGCGCAACCCCGACUUGCAAAUCCUACCGCGGUGCUCUUUACCGAGUGUCGAGGUGGGCCGGCACGUUUACUUUGAACAAAUUAGAGUGCUCAAAGCAGGCUAAAAUUUCGCCUGAAUAUUCUGUGCAUGGAAUAAUAGAACAAGACCUCGGUCUUAUUUUGUUGGUUUUCACGACUUCKAGGUAAUGAUUAAUAGGGACAGAUGGGGGCAUUCGUAUUGCGACGUUAGAGGUGAAAUUCUUGGAUCGUCGCAAGACGGACAGAAGCGAAAGCAUUUGCCAAAAAUGUUUUCAUUAAUCAAGAACGAAAGUCAGAGGUUCGAAGGCGAUCAGAUACCGCCCUAGUUCUGACCAUAAACGAUGCCAGCUAGCGAUCCGCCGAUGUUCCUCCGAUGACUCGGCGGGCAGCUUCCGGGAAACCAAAGCUUUUGGGUUCCGGGGGAAGUAUGGUUGCAAAGCUGAAACUUAAAGGAAUUGACGGAAGGGCACCACCAGGAGUGGAGCCUGCGGCUUAAUUUGACUCAACACGGGAAACCUCACUAGGCCCAGACACCGGAAGGAUUGACAGAUUGAGAGCUCUUUCUUGAUUCGGUGGGUGGUGGUGCAUGGCCGUUCUUAGUUGGUGGAGCGAUUUGUCUGGUUUAUUCCGAUAACGAACGAGACUCUAGCCUGCUAACUAGGCGUUACUAACCGGCAUCUCGAAGGCUCGCGUCGUCCGUUCGCCGGUUCGGGCUGCGGGGGUGCGCUGCGACGUUUCGGCGUUCGCACGCGUCGCCCCGUCCGUCCGGUCGGGCGUUCGCGGUUUUUACUGCCGGCGUACAAAUAUAUCUUCUUAGAGGGACAGGCGGCUCCUAGCCGCACGAGAUUGAGCAAUAACAGGUCUGUGAUGCCCUUAGAUGUUCUGGGCCGCACGCGCGCUACACUGAAGGAAUCAGCGUGUCCUCCCUGGCCGAAUGGUCCGGGUAACCCGCUGAACCUCCUUCGUGCUAGGGAUUGGGGAUUGCAAUUGUUCCCCAUGAACGAGGAAUUCCCAGUAAGCGCGAGUCAUAAACUCGCGUUGAUUACGUCCCUGCCCUUUGUACACACCGCCCGUCGCUACUACCGAUUGAAUGAUUUAGUGAGGUCUUCGGACUGGCGCGCGUCGAGGUUUCGACCCCGUUGCGCGUCGCUGGGAAGAUGACCAAACUUGAUUAUUUAGAGGAAGUAAAAGUCGU
Molecule: ribosomal RNA, 2053 nt
Filed under: Laccodytes sp. BMNH681606
Lineage: Eukaryota; Metazoa; Arthropoda; Insecta; Coleoptera; Dytiscidae
Description: SSU rRNA
Rfam family: Eukaryotic small subunit ribosomal RNA
Source: RNAcentral